AGGUAGCUUGCUACCGGACCUAGCGGCGGACGGGUGAGUAAUGCUUAGGAAUCUGCCUAUUAGUGGGGGACAACAUCUCGAAAGGGAUGCUAAUACCGCAUACGUCCUACGGGAGAAAGCAGGGGAUCUUCGGACCUUGCGCUAAUAGAUGAGCCUAAGUCGGAUUAGCUAGUUGGUGGGGUAAAGGCCUACCAAGGCGACGAUCUGUAGCGGGUCUGAGAGGAUGAUCCGCCACACUGGGACUGAGACACGGCCCAGACUCCUACGGGAGGCAGCAGUGGGGAAUAUUGGACAAUGGGGGGAACCCUGAUCCAGCCAUGCCGCGUGUGUGAAGAAGGCCUUAUGGUUGUAAAGCACUUUAAGCGAGGAGGAGGCUACUUUAGUUAAUACCUAGAGAUAGUGGACGUUACUCGCAAAAUAAGCACCGGCUAACUCUGUGCCAGCAGCCGCGGUAAUACAGAGGGUGCGAGCGUUAAUCGGAUUUACUGGGCGUAAAGCGUGCGUAGGCGGCUUAUUAAGUCGGAUGUGAAAUCCCCGAGCUUAACUUGGGAAUUGCAUUCGAUACUGGUGAGCUAGAGUAUGGGAGAGGAUGGUAGAAUUCCAGGUGUAGCGGUGAAAUGCGUAGAGAUCUGGAGGAAUACCGAUGGCGAAGGCAGCCAUCUGGCCUAAUACUGACGCUGAGGUACGAAAGCAUGGGGAGCAAACAGGAUUAGAUACCCUGGUUAG
RNAcentral lists this ribosomal RNA (726 nucleotides) under Acinetobacter sp. 33F. RNAcentral describes it as "bacterial SSU rRNA". It matches the Rfam family "Bacterial small subunit ribosomal RNA", at positions 73 to 793 of the family's 1533-position model. Lineage: Bacteria; Pseudomonadati; Pseudomonadota; Gammaproteobacteria; Moraxellales; Moraxellaceae. The record is from RNAcentral.